Molecule: ribosomal RNA, 476 nt
Filed under: uncultured organism
Description: partial 16S ribosomal RNA
Rfam family: Bacterial small subunit ribosomal RNA
Source: RNAcentral
UACACUCCUGCGGGAGGCAGCAGUGGGGAAUUUUGGACAAUGGGCGAAAGCCUGAUCCAGCAAUGCCGCGUGUGUGAAGAAGGCCUUCGGGUUGUAAAGCACUUUUGUCCGGAAAGAAAUCCUUGGCUCUAAUACAGUCGGGGGAUGACGGUACCGGAAGAAUAAGCACCGGCUAACUACGUGCCAGCAGCCGCGGUAAUACGUAGGGUGCGAGCGUUAAUCGGAAUUACUGGGCGUAAAGCGUGCGCAGGCGGUUUGCUAAGACCGAUGUGAAAUCCCCGGGCUCAACCUGGGAACUGCAUUGGUGACUGGCAGGCUAGAGUAUGGCAGAGGGGGGUAGAAUUCCACGUGUAGCAGUGAAAUGCGUAGAGAUGUGGAGGAAUACCGAUGGCGAAGGCAGCCCCCUGGGCCAAUACUGACGCUCAUGCACGAAAGCGUGGGGAGCAAACAGGAUUAGAAACCCUGGUAGUCCCAUG